UAGAGUUUGAUCCUGGCUCAGAACGAACGCUGGCGGCGUGGAUAAGACAUGCAAGUCGAACGAGAGAAUUGCUAGCUUGCUAAUAAUUCUCUAGUGGCGCACGGGUGAGUAACACGUGAGUAACCUGCCCCCGAGAGCGGGAUAGCCCUGGGAAACUGGGAUUAAUACCGCAUAGUAUCGAAAGAUUAAAGCAGCAAUGCGCUUGGGGAUGGGCUCGCGGCCUAUUAGUUAGUUGGUGAGGUAACGGCUCACCAAGGCGAUGACGGGUAGCUGGUCUGAGAGGAUGUCCGGCCACACUGGAACUGAGACACGGUCCAGACACCUACGGGAGGCAGCAGUCGAGAAUCAUUCACAAUGGGGGAAACCCUGAUGGUGCGACGCCGCGUGGGGGAAUGAAGGUCUUCGGAUUGUAAACCCCUGUCAUGUGGGAGCAAAUUAAAAAGAUAGUACCACAAGAGGAAGAGACGGCUAACUCUGUGCCAGCAGCCGCGGUAAUACAGAGGUCUCAAGCGUUGUUCGGAAUCACUGGGCGUAAAGCGUGCGUAGGCUGUUUCGUAAGUCGUGUGUGAAAGGCGCGGGCUCAACCCGCGGACGGCACAUGAUACUGCGAGACUAGAGUAAUGGAGGGGGAACCGGAAUUCUCGGUGUAGCAGUGAAAUGCGUAGAUAUCGAGAGGAACACUCGUGGCGAAGGCGGGUUCCUGGACAUUAACUGACGCUGAGGCACGAAGGCCAGGGGAGCGAAAGGGAUUAGAUACCCCUGUAGUCCUGGCAGUAAACGGUGCACGCUUGGUGUGCGGGGAAUCGACCCCCUGCGUGCCGGAGCUAACGCGUUAAGCGUGCCGCCUGGGGAGUACGGUCGCAAGAUUAAAACUCAAAGAAAUUGACGGGGACCCGCACAAGCGGUGGAGUAUGUGGCUUAAUUCGAUGCAACGCGAAGAACCUUACCUGGGCUUGACAUGUAAUGAACAACAUGUGAAAGCAUGCGACUCUUCGGAGGCGUUACACAGGUGCUGCAUGGCCGUCGUCAGCUCGUGUCGUGAGAUGUUUGGUUAAGUCCAGCAACGAGCGCAACCCCUGUUACCAGUUACCAGCACGUGAAGGUGGGGACUCUGGCGAGACUGCCCAGAUCAACUGGGAGGAAGGUGGGGACGACGUCAGGUCAGUAUGGCCCUUAUGCCCAGGGCUGCACACGUACUACAAUGCCCAGUACAGAGGGGGCCGAAGCCGCGAGGCGGAGGAAAUCCUAAAAACUGGGCCCAGUUCGGACUGUAGGCUGCAACCCGCCUACACGAAGCCGGAAUCGCUAGUAAUGGCGCAUCAGCUACGGCGCCGUGAAUACGUUCCCGGGUCUUGUACUCACAGCCCGUCA
Molecule: ribosomal RNA, 1371 nt
Filed under: uncultured bacterium
Lineage: Bacteria
Description: bacterial SSU rRNA
Rfam family: Bacterial small subunit ribosomal RNA
Source: RNAcentral